This 155-nucleotide ribosomal RNA is filed under the name Ganoderma sp. 4 TRK-2010. RNAcentral's name for it is "5.8S ribosomal RNA". The stretch from base 1 to 117 matches the Rfam family "5.8S ribosomal RNA", at positions 31 to 154 of the family's 154-position model. From Rfam's summary of the family: 5.8S ribosomal RNA (5.8S rRNA) is a component of the large subunit of the eukaryotic ribosome. It is transcribed by RNA polymerase I as part of the 45S precursor that also contains 18S and 28S rRNA. Lineage: Eukaryota; Fungi; Basidiomycota; Agaricomycetes; Polyporales; Polyporaceae. The record is from RNAcentral.
CAUCCAUGAAGAACGCAGGGAAUGCGAUUAGUAUGUGAAAUUGCAGAAUUCAGUGAUCAUCGAUCUUUGAACGCACCUUGCGCUCCUUGAUUCCGGGAGCAUCCUGUUUGAGUGCAUGAAAUCUCAACUUGCAAGCUCUUUGCGAGUUUUGUAGG